This 1074-nucleotide long non-coding RNA is filed under the name Parus major (Great Tit). RNAcentral's name for it is "lncRNA (ENSPMJG00000015471.1)". Lineage: Eukaryota; Metazoa; Chordata; Aves; Passeriformes; Paridae. The record is from RNAcentral.
UUGGAAGACUGUACUAGCUUGCCAGAGGGAAUUCAGAGGAAACUAGAAUACUUUCCCAAAGAGAAGGUCUCUCUAUCAGACAGUUGGAUGAUGGCAGCACCCAACUUCAGCUGGAAGUGCUCAAACCCCGCAGCAAUGAGACUAAUAUUAAAAGCCCUGAUAGUAUCAGGCACCACACUCCAUUAUAUCACGACUGCAUUUCCAUCUUCAUGCCCAGUCUUCUUAAAAAGAGCUUGUGGAGAGCAGGGACUCAUGACAGCUGGAAAACCUACAUGCCACAGAGAGCCAAAGAUAUCUGACUGUGCAUAAUGGUGCUACCCAUAACCUUGGCACAGGUUUUGAUGAUGAAGUGCAAGGAAAUGACGUUCAGAAGGAAGUUAUAAAAGAACAGAGGAGCACAGGUAGGCCUUUUCUAAGCAAUUUUUCCAGAACAAAAAAAAAAUCUAAAUUAACUAAUCUUAUGCCAAAAGUUGUCUAAGAGUACAAAAAUCUGAGUUCUGUUCCAUCUUCUUGUCUUUACUGAACAUUAAAUUAACUGUAAGUAUCCCUAUGCUUGCAUGAUUUAUCUCUUACAGUAUUGUAGGAGAGAAAACUUUGAAAGGAGCCUUUAAAAUCAAGAGUGCAAUAACAAAUUUUUUGUAGUUUUGCAAUACAGCUUUAACAAAGGAUGUAUUUUCUUUGCUCUUCAGUCUGGAUUUCUGUCUUUCAACAUGAGAAAAUAAAAACUGAUAGAUUGUAUGCUGAAGUCCAUGCUUCUGUCACUCUCCAGUUUGUGGGUGAGAAAUGAAAGGGGCUAACUUUUCUUGCUGAUGAGCUACAUGCAUUUUGUAUGUUUAUAUGCAAAGCCCUACAGUCAUCCGGGAUGAAAAUGAAGGUGUCAUCUAUGAAGACAGGGUUUUCAUCUGUCUGACCCAAACAGUGGCAAUGUGGAUUACUCAUCAGGGAAAGCUGAUUCCAAGGAAAUAUGUGGAUCAUAAAGCAGGCACCAAUUUGUCACUGCAUAGUAAACCUUUGAAGAAAACACGUGUCUGGGAAGUACCAGGACGUAGUUUUGGAGGAGUACAAGCUCAAUGA